AUAAAAAUAAUGAUUAGGAAAAGUAAUUGAUCCAACCUUCACAGAGAGUUCUUGAUAGUGGAAAAAGAACAUGGUGAUUGAUGAACCCACACCUAGGAAUUGCAGGGCUGAACUAAGUAGGCUUUGCCGAUCGGUUUCGUUAUCCGAGUUGACUCAGCCAACGUGAGGUUUAAUCCGCAAGGGUUAGACGAAAUGAGGUGGAACCGCGCAAAUUACGUCCUCUUA
This 225-nucleotide non-coding RNA is filed under the name Companilactobacillus farciminis. RNAcentral describes it as "Lactobacillus farciminis T-box sequence". It matches the Rfam family "T-box leader". From Rfam's summary of the family: Uncharged tRNA acts as the effector for transcription antitermination of genes in the T-box leader family. T-boxes are found upstream of many aminoacyl-tRNA synthetase genes and some amino acid biosynthetic genes usually in Gram-positive bacteria. Lineage: Bacteria; Bacillati; Bacillota; Bacilli; Lactobacillales; Lactobacillaceae. The record is from RNAcentral.